This 549-nucleotide ribosomal RNA is filed under the name uncultured bacterium. RNAcentral describes it as "bacterial SSU rRNA". It matches the Rfam family "Bacterial small subunit ribosomal RNA", at positions 355 to 896 of the family's 1533-position model. The record is from RNAcentral.
UGGGGAAUAUUGGACAAUGGGCGAAAGCCUGAUCCAGCCAUGCCGCGUGUGUGAAGAAGGUCUUCGGAUUGUAAAGCACUUUAAGUUGGGAGGAAGGGCAGUAAGUUAAUACCUUGCUGUUUUGACGUUACCAACAGAAUAAGCACCGGCUAACUUCGUGCCAGCAGCCGCGGUAAUACGAAGGGUGCAAGCGUUAAUCGGAAUUACUGGGCGUAAAGCGCGCGUAGGUGGUUCAGCAAGUUGGAUGUGAAAUCCCCGGGCUCAACCUGGGAACUGCAUCCAAAACUACUGAGCUAGAGUACGGUAGAGGGUGGUGGAAUUUCCUGUGUAGCGGUGAAAUGCGUAGAUAUAGGAAGGAACACCAGUGGCGAAGGCGACCACCUGGACUGAUACUGACACUGAGGUGCGAAAGCGUGGGGAGCAAACAGGAUUAGAUACUCUGGUAGUCCACGCCGUAAACGAUGUCGACUAGCCGUUGGGAUCCUUGAGAUCUUAGUGGCGCAGCUAACGCGAUAAGUCGACCGCCUGGGGAGUACGGCCGCAAGGUUA